This 254-nucleotide ribosomal RNA is filed under the name uncultured bacterium. RNAcentral's name for it is "partial 16S ribosomal RNA". It matches the Rfam family "Bacterial small subunit ribosomal RNA", at positions 524 to 776 of the family's 1533-position model. The record is from RNAcentral.
UACGUAGGGUGCAAGCGUUAAUCGGAAUUACUGGGCGUAAAGCGUGCGUAGGCGGUUUGUUAAGUCUGCUGUGAAAUCCCCGGGCUCAACCUGGGAAUGGCAGUGGAUACUGGCAAGCUAGAGUGUGUCAGAGGAUGGUGGAAUUCCCGGUGUAGCGGUGAAAUGCGUAGAGAUGUGGAGGAAUACCGAUGGCGAAGGCAGCCCCCUGGGCCAAUACUGACGCUCAUGCACGAAAGCGUGGGGGAGCAAACAGG